CGUUCGGCGCGACCGCCCGAAUGGAUAUUUGUGGCAACCACUGCAACGCAAGACAGUCAUCUGCAGUGCUCACUUUGUCGGUAACAAAGCGAGCACGAUUGCCGGCCAUCCCGCCUAUGUACCAACUGUGUUUCCGCCGUGUUACAGAAGAAGUGAUGCAGUACUACCGGCAUCAAAGCUCGACAGAUAUAAGAGGGUUCAGCGACGUCGCGCAGUGCUUCAAGCGCCGACAUCCAAGAGCGCGAUCACGGCGACUGCGGAUUCCUUUGAGGACUCCUCGAUUGACCUCGCCGACGAAAUCAUUGCAUCACCGGAAGAAACUGGCACAUCCGCAUCCGUGAUGACCCAGACAGAUGCAGAUUUUAACGGAGGUGUUUGCACUCUGCUCCUCUCUGUGACAGCAGAAGGCGUGGCAUCUACUCAAGUUUGCCAUACCGACAUUGUAGAGAAAGGUGUACAAGCAAGUGCCUCUGUGAGAUCGACAGCUACUGGACCGAACGAGCGCAGCUGUGCAUUUCUUGGCUACAAUUCCCUGAUUCAGAGAAAGGAUGCCUUUCGUGAACUGUGUGGCGUUAGCGCAAACGUCUUUUCUCUGUUAUUGUCUGUGCUUUCAUCCAUUGCUGUGAGGGAAGUGUGUGUGCCAAUUUCCCAGAAGUUGUCCAUGUUCUUGAUGAAGAUGAAGCUCGGCGUUUCAUUCGCCAGCAUUGCAGUGCUUUUUGGCCUUCAUCGUAGGACAGUUAGCCGCACAUUCUACUUUGUAUUAACUAAUCUGUUAAAUGCAAUGCAGAAAUGGAUGCCGGAGCCAUCGCUUGGAGCAGUACAAGCCACCAUGCCCACAUGUUUUAGGCUGCACUACCCGCGCUGCCGCUACAUAAUUGAGUGCACAGAGCUUCGCACAGAAGAACCACCCACCACAGAACAGAAACGUGCCCUGUUUUCGCACUACAAAGGUGGCUACACGUUGAAGUUUUUGAUAGGUAUAUUGCCAAAUGGAACAGUCACUUUUGUGUCACAGGCCUAUGGUGGCCGCACCUCAGACACUCACAUUACGCUGGAAUCAGGGUUUCUUGAUCGUAUAGAACCAGGAGAUGUUGUUUCAGCGGACAAGGGUUUCCCUGGAAUUAAAGCACCCACUUAAAUCCAGAAGGGAAUUAUUGUGCUACCGCCAUUUUCAAAAGGAAAUGUUCAAUUCACUCACGAAGAGCUGGAGCAAACCUAUCAUGUCGCACAAGUGCGUAUACACGUUGAAAGAGCAAUACAGAGACUGAAAAUGUUCGGCAUAGUGAAUUCAAGGGUGCCUUUUGAUCUGAUUCCCCACAUGAGUGACAUAAUGCGGAUGUGCUGCAUUCUUGCGAACCUUCAGCCACCCAUUAUUAAUGAGCCAAGUAAUCAAGACACAGAGUAAGUUUGAAUGCUCAUUUUUUAUAAGUUUGUUGGGCCAAAAAGCAGCCUUUUGAAUAUGGUGGGCUGAGUGCGACAUCACUGAAUGUUUGUCUACCAUACAUGCUUAGUUGUAAUGGUUCCAAAAGAGAAUUAAGGUUGUUCUCUCAGUGGCUAAGCGAACUUUUUCUUCAAUGUUUGAGAUGCUGGUGAUAAUGGCACAGACAGGUUGGCUUAUGGGGAGUGUAGCAUAGCAGCAGCUGUAGCGGUGCUGGCAUGGUGUUAUUUGUAUACUAAGUCAGCACGUGAUGCGAUGGAUGGUAAAUAAAAAUACAUUUAAAAAUAUAGAAUUUUCUGCGGUUCAUUUCAAAUUUACACACAUGUUGGUACCUGCACGUGAGCUCAGAGUGGAAGCUUCUCAAAAGCCAUGUCCAUCACUGCAAAUGAAAAAAGAAUGUCGCGCAUUCUUCAAGGAACAGUAAUUGUACGACA
Molecule: long non-coding RNA, 1872 nt
Organism: Dermacentor silvarum
Lineage: Eukaryota; Metazoa; Arthropoda; Arachnida; Ixodida; Ixodidae
Exons: 4
Source: RefSeq, a predicted model, not a curated record